Drosophila virilis is the source of this 45-nucleotide non-coding RNA. The record is from Rfam. NCBI's taxonomy places the organism in Eukaryota, Metazoa, Arthropoda, Insecta, Diptera, Drosophilidae.
CAAUCGGCUCUUUUCAGAGCCACCAAAGCAAACGCCAAAGAGUCU